This 406-nucleotide ribosomal RNA is filed under the name uncultured bacterium. Its description in RNAcentral is "partial 16S ribosomal RNA". It matches the Rfam family "Bacterial small subunit ribosomal RNA", at positions 28 to 526 of the family's 1533-position model. The record is from RNAcentral.
GAUGAACGCUAGCUACAGGCUUAACACAUGCAAGUCGAGGGACCGGCGCACGGGUGAGUAACACGUAUCCAACCUGCCCUUUACCCGGGGAUAGACUUUCGCAAGAAAGAUUAAUACCCGAACUAAAGGAUGGGGAUGCGUUCCAUUAGGGUCUUGGUGAGGUAACGUCCCACCAAGCCUUCGAUGGAGAGGGGAGCGGAGAGGAAGUCACCCCACAAUGGAGCUGAGGCACGGUCCAAAAUCCUACGAGGGGCAGCAGUGGUGAAUAUUGGUCAAUAGGCGGUAGCCUGAACCAGCCGAGUAGCGUGAAGAAGUAUGGCGUAUGAGUCGUAAACUUCUUUGAUAUAAGAAUAUGUAUUAUAUGAAUAAGGAUCGGCUAACUCCGUGCCAGCAGCCGCGGUAAUAC